GCUGGGCAUGGUGGCGUGUGCCUGUAAUCCCAGCUACUCCGGAGGCUGAGGCAGGAGAAUUGCUUGAACCCAGGAGGCAGAGAUUGCAGUGAGCCGAGAUCACGCCACUGCACUCCAGCCUGGGUGACAGAGCAAGACUCUGUCUCAA
This is an unclassified non-coding RNA of Pongo abelii (Sumatran orangutan), 148 nucleotides long. It matches the Rfam family "Metazoan signal recognition particle RNA". Rfam says of the family: The signal recognition particle (SRP) is a universally conserved ribonucleoprotein. It is involved in the co-translational targeting of proteins to membranes. NCBI's taxonomy places the organism in Eukaryota, Metazoa, Chordata, Mammalia, Primates, Hominidae. The record is from Ensembl.